RNAcentral lists this ribosomal RNA (194 nucleotides) under uncultured prokaryote. RNAcentral describes it as "partial 16S ribosomal RNA". The record is from RNAcentral.
GGAAGGACGUCAAUAGUCACACAGUCCUUGACGGUAUAAUAACCACCAUCAUGGCGACCAUCCAAAGGAUAAACAUCAUAGGCAGUCGGGAGGGUAGUCGGAACCGAAGAAGACUCAAAGCGAACCAAACAGGCAAAAAAUUUAGGGUCGGCAUCAAAAGCAAUAUCAGCACCAACAGAAACAACCUGAUUAGC